CUUCCCACACGAUGUGUCAUGCCAGCCUUGUAUCCCAGGAAAGCUGUGAGGUGGACCAGUUUAGAAGGGUCAUCACUGGGGAAGCUCUUCACCUUGCCAUGAUGCCUACUGCUGUGUUUCCAAGGCAGGAAGCCCGGGGACCCAUGUCUUGGAGCAAAUCACCAAGUGAUUUGAUAGAGAUUUCUUUAAAUUACUGGAGCCAAAAAAGAGAAAAGACUUCCUUGGUUUUUACAGAUUGACUCUGGGUUUGGAUAUACAUGCAACACUUAUUCCAGAUGUUGACAACUCACCC
RNAcentral lists this long non-coding RNA (292 nucleotides) under Pan troglodytes (chimpanzee). RNAcentral's name for it is "long non-coding RNA NONPTRT016655". The record is from RNAcentral. Lineage: Eukaryota; Metazoa; Chordata; Mammalia; Primates; Hominidae.